This 759-nucleotide ribosomal RNA is filed under the name Haemophilus influenzae. RNAcentral's name for it is "bacterial SSU rRNA". It matches the Rfam family "Bacterial small subunit ribosomal RNA", at positions 28 to 776 of the family's 1533-position model. Lineage: Bacteria; Pseudomonadati; Pseudomonadota; Gammaproteobacteria; Pasteurellales; Pasteurellaceae. The record is from RNAcentral.
AUUGAACGCUGGCGGCAGGCUUAACACAUGCAAGUCGAACGGUAGCAGGAGAAAGGUUGCUUUCUUGCUGACGAGUGGCGGACGGGUGAGUAAUGCUUGGGAAUCUGGCUUAUGGAGGGGGAUAACGACGGGAAACUGUCGCUAAUACCGCGUAUUAUCGGAAGAUGAAAGUGCGGGACUGAGAGGCCGCAUGCCAUAGGAUGAGCCCAAGUGGGAUUAGGUAGUUGGUGGGGUAAAUGCCUACCAAGCCUGCGAUCUCUAGCUGGUCUGAGAGGAUGACCAGCCACACUGGAACUGAGACACGGUCCAGACUCCUACGGGAGGCAGCAGUGGGGAAUAUUGCGCAAUGGGGGGAACCCUGACGCAGCCAUGCCGCGUGAAUGAAGAAGGCCUUAGGGUUGUAAAGUUCUUUCGGUAUUGAGGAAGGUUGAUGUGUUAAUAGCACAUCAAAUUGACGUUAAAUACAGAAGAAGCACCGGCUAACUCCGUGCCAGCAGCCGCGGUAAUACGGAGGGUGCGAGCGUUAAUCGGAAUAACUGGGCGUAAAGGGCACGCAGGCGGUUAUUUAAGUGAGGUGUGAAAGCCCCGGGCUUAACCUGGGAAUUGCAUUUCAGACUGGGUAACUAGAGUACUUUAGGGAGGGGUAGAAUUCCACGUGUAGCGGUGAAAUGCGUAGAGAUGUGGAGGAAUACCGAAGGCGAAGGCAGCCCCUUGGGAAUGUACUGACGCUCAUGUGCGAAAGCGUGGGGAGCAAACAGG